Molecule: long non-coding RNA, 419 nt
Organism: Vidua macroura (Pin-tailed whydah)
Lineage: Eukaryota; Metazoa; Chordata; Aves; Passeriformes; Viduidae
Exons: 4
Source: RefSeq, a predicted model, not a curated record
CUGAGCAUCUCUGGCUGGCACUGGCAUCACACUGGUAGGAGUGAGAUGGAUUGAGGUUUCCCUCCCCUGGCAACGUUAGUUUAAAGCCAUCUUCACCAGCCUGCAAAGAUUUCUACCUGACACUAAUAAGAAGACAGCAUCCCAACACCACCUUUUUGAGGCAGAAAGGGGCACUCCAGUGACCUUGGAAGGCCUCAUCUGAAAUUACUAAACCAAAGCCUGCCAUCAUCUUACAGACAAGCUCCUUCAGAAUUCCAGAGUCACCAGUUUAUUAGCAACAUCAGGAUCACAUUAUUCCUCUUCUGAGACCCUGCCCUGGGUUUUCUCCAAAACUUACAAGGACUAAGAUUUGCAAUAUUGAGAUGAAAAUCAUGAAGAUAUACCAAGUUUUCUCUCCAUGUAUACCACAGGUAAGAAAA